Molecule: ribosomal RNA, 893 nt
Filed under: Ganoderma carnosum
Lineage: Eukaryota; Fungi; Basidiomycota; Agaricomycetes; Polyporales; Polyporaceae
Description: partial large subunit ribosomal RNA
Rfam family: Eukaryotic large subunit ribosomal RNA
Source: RNAcentral
AAACUAACAAGGAUUCCCCUAGUAACUGCGAGUGAAGCGGGAAAAGCUCAAAUUUAAAAUCUGGCGGUCUUCGGCCGUCCGAGUUGUAGUCUGGAGAAGUGCUUUCCGCGCUGGACCGUGUAUAAGUCUCUUGGAACAGAGCGUCAUAGAGGGUGAGAAUCCCGUCUUUGACACGGACUACCAGUGCUUUGUGAUGCGCUCUCAAAGAGUCGAGUUGUUUGGGAAUGCAGCUCAAAAUGGGUGGUGAAUUCCAUCUAAAGCUAAAUAUUGGCGAGAGACCGAUAGCGAACAAGUACCGUGAGGGAAAGAUGAAAAGCACUUUGGAAAGAGAGUUAAACAGUACGUGAAAUUGCUGAAAGGGAAACGCUUGAAGUCAGUCGCGUUGUCCGGAACUCAGCCUUGCUUUCGCUUGGUGCACUUUCCGGAUGACGGGUCAGCAUCGAUUUUGACCGUCGGAAAAGGGCUGGAGUAAUGUGGCACCUCCGGGUGUGUUAUAGACUCUGGUCGCAUACGGCGGUUGGGAUCGAGGAACGCAGCGCGCCGCAAGGCAGGGGUUCGCCCACUUUCGCGCUUAGGAUGCUGGCAUAAUGGCUUUAAACGACCCGUCUUGAAACACGGACCAAGGAGUCUAACAUACCUGCGAGUGUUUGGGUGGAAAACCCGAGCGCGUAAUGAAAGUGAAAGUUGAGACCUCUGUCGUGGRGRGCAUCGACGCCCGGACCUGACGUUCUCUGAAGGAUCCGCGGUAGAGCAUGUAUGUUGGGACCCGAAAGAUGGUGAACUAUGCCUGAAUAGGGUGAAGCCAGAGGAAACUCUGGUGGAGGCUCGUAGCGAUUCUGACGUGCAAAUCGAUCGUCAAAUUUGGGUAUAGGGGCGAAAGACUAAUCGAACCA